GUGGGGAAUAUUGGACAAUGGGGGGAACCCUGAUCCAGCCAUGCCGCGUGUGUGAAGAAGGCCUUUUGGUUGUAAAGCACUUUAAGCGAGGAGGAGGCUACCGAGAUUAAUACUCUUGGAUAGUGGACGUUACUCGCAGAAUAAGCACCGGCUAACUCUGUGCCAGCAGCCGCGGUAAUACAGAGGGUGCAAGCGUUAAUCGGAUUUACUGGGCGUAAAGCGCGCGUAGGUGGCCAAUUAAGUCAAAUGUGAAAUCCCCGAGCUUAACUUGGGAAUUGCAUUCGAUACUGGUUGGCUAGAGUAUGGGAGAGGAUGGUAGAAUUCCAGGUGUAGCGGUGAAAUGCGUAGAGAUCUGGAGGAAUACCGAUGGCGAAGGCAGCCAUCUGGCCUAAUACUGACACUGAGGUGCGAAAGCAUGGGGAGCAAACAGGAUUAGAUACCCGAGAGUCC
RNAcentral lists this ribosomal RNA (450 nucleotides) under uncultured bacterium. RNAcentral describes it as "partial 16S ribosomal RNA". It matches the Rfam family "Bacterial small subunit ribosomal RNA", at positions 354 to 796 of the family's 1533-position model. The record is from RNAcentral.